UACGUAGGGUGCAAGCGUUGUCCGGAAUUAUUGGGCGUAAAGAGCUCGUAGGCGGUUUGUCGCGUCUGCUGUGAAAACCCGAGGCUCAACCUCGGACUUGCAGUGGGUACGGGCAGACUAGAGUGUGGUAGGGGAGACUGGAAUUCCUGGUGUAGCGGUGAAAUGCGCAGAUAUCAGGAGGAACACCGAUGGCGAAGGCAGGUCUCUGGGCCACUACUGACGCUGAGAAGCGAAAGCAUGGGGAGCGAACAGG
Molecule: ribosomal RNA, 253 nt
Filed under: uncultured bacterium
Lineage: Bacteria
Description: partial 16S ribosomal RNA
Rfam family: Bacterial small subunit ribosomal RNA
Source: RNAcentral